GUCGGAUUCCAGGGCUGCUAACCACAUAGAGAGGGGUCGGUGGCAUUUCAUGCGAGGCUGAGUCCCUAGAACUGGGUUAUAACCAGACCCAUACGUUUUCUGUGGUUUCAUUAUCACUACCAAUAAAAUGAGCUUGGUUUCGAGCAACCGAUUAGAAACGGGGUAACAUAAAGGUCAAUGUGACCAAGCAGUUCAAGGGCUUCCGAUGGAUAAGGUAUAAGUGCGAAGGUCUGUUU
Molecule: long non-coding RNA, 236 nt
Organism: Leopardus geoffroyi (Geoffroy's cat)
Lineage: Eukaryota; Metazoa; Chordata; Mammalia; Carnivora; Felidae
Exons: 2
Source: RefSeq, a predicted model, not a curated record